AGUUUUCUAAGAAAGGUUUGUUGUGAUUAACAACGGAGAUUCCAAUUAUCAUAAAAUUAAAAAAAAAAAAAAACUUUACUUUAAAAAAUAAGAUAAAGAAAUUAUUUCGAUGAUCAGAUAUUUGGAGGAAACUCUGAAAAGGAACCCUGCUGUUUGUUGUCGAAAUGUGAGGGGAAAAGAAAUCCAUGCAGCCAAUGACCUGAGGGACCACGCUUGAUGGUUGCCCGCCCACCAAAUGUCUUAGUUAUAAAUGAUGGGUCCACCUGUGUUAAAGCAUCCGAACAUGCCUCCAAUAGUUCCAAUUUUCGUAUCUUUACCCUGAAGCAACUAUAGUAGUGGAUGUCCUAUUUAGUCCUUUUUGUGACCUUGCCAUAAUGUGCAAAAUCAAAUUACAAAACUUUCAUCCCAAAUCAACAAUAGCAAUGGCGAUAGAAAGAAGCAAUGGAUUUGGUUACAAGCCAUAUUUCAUAAACCCAUUAGCCAAUAAGAAUUAUAUCUUGCACCACAUGCACUAUGUCACUAGG
Molecule: long non-coding RNA, 524 nt
Filed under: Elaeis guineensis (African oil palm)
Lineage: Eukaryota; Viridiplantae; Streptophyta; Magnoliopsida; Arecales; Arecaceae
Description: long non-coding RNA (EGUI_LNC014785)
Source: RNAcentral